This is a long non-coding RNA of Hemicordylus capensis (graceful crag lizard), 389 nucleotides long. RefSeq lists it as uncharacterized. NCBI's taxonomy places the organism in Eukaryota, Metazoa, Chordata, Lepidosauria, Squamata, Cordylidae. The record is from RefSeq and is a predicted model, not a curated record. The transcript is spliced from 2 exons.
CCCCCGAUGCAGUGCUGGGAAAGCAGGCAUAUACAGGCCUCGCAUUCUAAUCAGGAGAGGAAGAUGUCCAAGUCAGAACCUUAACUGGGAAGAGCUGAAUGGCAGAAUCCCUUGGGUGGACUGUAGGCUAUUUCAAAAUUCACAAAAACUCCACUUCUGGGGAAGAAGAAAAACAGCUCUGAAUGAAGUCAGUGUUUCCCUCAAAGAGAUAAUCAGUCUUAUACCCAAAUGUUGGAUUUUGUGUUUUAAAAAACAAUCCUCUUAUGACAUUCCUGACACCAAAUUUAUUGCAAGAAUUUCCAAGUCAGCGCAAGUGCAAUAAAACAUGAUUACAGGGCACAACAAAACUUUUGUUCUGACAAAACCAAUAAAGAUUUCACUCAAAAGCA